Molecule: ribosomal RNA, 506 nt
Filed under: uncultured bacterium
Lineage: Bacteria
Description: partial 16S ribosomal RNA
Rfam family: Bacterial small subunit ribosomal RNA
Source: RNAcentral
AGUGAACGCUGGCGGUAGGCCUAACACAUGCAAGUCGAACGGCAGCACAGGAGAGCUUGCUCUCUGGGUGGCGAGUGGCGGACGGGUGAGGAAUACAUCGGAAUCUACUCUGUCGUGGGGGAUAACGUAGGGAAACUUACGCUAAUACCGCAUACGACCUACGGGUGAAAGCAGGGGACCUUCGGGCCUUUCGCGAAUGAAUGAGCCGAUGUCGGAUUAGCUAGUUGGCGGGGUAAAGGCCCACCAAGGCGACGAUCCGUAGCUUGUCUGAGAGGAUGAUCAGCCACACUGGAACUGAGACACGGUCCAGACUCCUACGGGAGGCAGCAGUGGGGAAUAUUGGACAAUGGGCGCAAGCCUGAUCCAGCCAUACCGCGUGGGUGAAGAAGGCCUUCGGGUUGUAAAGCCCUUUUGUUGGGAAAGAAAUCCAGCUGGCUAAUACCCGGUUGGGAUGACGGUACCCAAAGAAUAAGCACCGGCUAACUUCGUGCCAGCCGCCGCAGUAA